Molecule: long non-coding RNA, 274 nt
Organism: Rhipicephalus sanguineus (brown dog tick)
Lineage: Eukaryota; Metazoa; Arthropoda; Arachnida; Ixodida; Ixodidae
Exons: 3
Source: RefSeq, a predicted model, not a curated record
CGCAAUCUAGCGAUCUGUCCCAGUCGCAGCUGUCACAGACAUCAGCGGUGUCUGACACGCAGCUGCUGGACUCGUCGGGCCUGAACGAGGACCAGCUGAGCAGCGGCGACCGCCGGUUCGACGCAGUCAUCCCGGAAUCGGCCAUCUACAUAGGCGGCGCUUUCGUCGCCAUCGUGGUCGUCGCUGGGAUCCUGGCCUCCAUCGCGGCGCUCAGGUCAACCACGUCACACUUGGACAUCCUGGGCACGGGCCUCCCGCUCGCGAAGGAAGACGA